Molecule: transfer RNA, 72 nt
Filed under: Camelus bactrianus (Bactrian camel)
Lineage: Eukaryota; Metazoa; Chordata; Mammalia; Artiodactyla; Camelidae
Also listed under: 2 other names
Rfam family: tRNA
About the family: Transfer RNA (tRNA) molecules are approximately 80 nucleotides in length. Their secondary structure includes four short double-helical elements and three loops (D, anti-codon, and T loops). Further hydrogen bonds mediate the characteristic L-shaped molecular structure. tRNAs have two regions of fundamental functional importance: the anti-codon, which is responsible for specific mRNA codon recognition, and the 3' end, to which the tRNAs corresponding amino acid is attached (by aminoacyl-tRNA synthetases). tRNAs cope with the degeneracy of the genetic code in two manners: having more than one tRNA (with a specific anti-codon) for a particular amino acid; and 'wobble' base-pairing, i.e. permitting non-standard base-pairing at the 3rd anti-codon position.
Source: Rfam by way of RNAcentral
GGGGGUAUAGCUCAGUGGUAGAGUGCGUCCUCGGUGUGCACAAGGUCCUGGGUUCAAUCUCUUGUGCUUCCA